UGCGGAUGGCAGAAGCGUUCGUUCACCUUACACGGACCUGCUGGCUGGCAGAGGUCUUCCCGGGCUUGGUUCUAGGCACUCGGGACACCGCAGUGACCGCGGCAGACAAUGUUUCCCUUUUCUGAAGUUUCCGUCCCAGCGUGGGAGAGACAGUAAGCCUCUAGACAGGCGAAGCAAGCACAAUAAAUGACUCUGGAAGGUGAUAAAUACUGGGGAGAAAAUAAAACCCGGAGGAGGGGCGGGGGAUCUAGCUCAGCGGCACAGCGUCUGCCUGGCAAGCGCAACGUCGUGAGUUCGAUUCCCGGUACCGGAAAACAAAACAAAACAAAACAAACAAACAAAAAAACCCGGAGGAGAGAUGGAGAGUGACGCGAACGACGGGCGUGGGCGGUGUGACACUGGGUCGCCAGGACGGACCUCUGUGAGGAGGUGGCAGCAACGUGGGGAAACUCAGGCCUAAGAGGAGCUUUCCAGGCAGGAUGAAGAGUAAGCAGCCCCGAAGGGACGACCAAGGCCGGAAGUUCAGUACAGCCGAAGUGUGGGUCAUCGGAAGGGUGCCGGGCUCGGGCACGAGAGAUAAGCAGGGCCCAGACCGUGCAGGACCGUAAAAGCCGUCUGGGCACACUGAUGUUUAAGCGUAGAAGGUCUUAGGUGGGCGUUGAAGCUCAGGACAUCCCUCCUUUGAUGUUCAGAGCGCUCUGAGUAUCGCUGCCGUCCUGUGUUCCUGAGAUGAUCAAGUUACUCCUGAGCUGCGGUGACUUUGGAGAGCACCCCGGGCAGCUCAGGAGCUUGCAGGGGCCCGGUUGGCACGGGCUUGCCAGAUGUGGUUAUUUAGAGGCUUGCAUCACGGCUCAUAGCCUCUGUGCUAGCAGUCACAUGACCAGGGUCACGGCUUCAGACAGGUGGGGAGGGAUGGUCCGAAGGACAGAUGUUGCUUGCUGUGGCCCCUGGCGCCCGUUCCACCUGUUCUGCAGGCUGAUGAUACAGAUCUGUCGCAGUGGGUCAGAGGCAAUCCAAGCCGUGUGGGCCUGUGACUUGGCAGAGGGCCCAGAGGGUUGGAAGGAGCAAUCCUCCGCUGGAUUUUUAGGUAACACGUGGCGGUUGAAAAGAGGCAAGAUUCUGCUCCCAACUGCAAGGAGAACCUCGUGCAGAUGACAACUAUGAACUCUGCACAAAAAGUAGAAGAGAACCCCUGGAAGAUAUCGGGGAGAACCCCUGGAAGACAUCGGGGAGCUACCAUACACGGGCAAGUGUGAGGGGAGUGCUGUCACCUCAAAGAAAGGGACAAUAUUAGGUGACUGCUCCAAGGCCGGGGGCAAAGCGCCUCUGUGUCAGGAGGCAGGGGUGGCUUAAAGUCUGCUAAAAAUCUGAUCUUGCUGGCCUGAUGAACCAGAGAGCCAGGCAGGGCAAACAAUCUCGGGAAAAUAAGGGGUGGGGUAAAUCCCGGAAGGCACCGAUCCGGAGAAGGAGGUCCCCAAAUGCUGCACGUGAACUCCAUCCAAACCCGUAGCGGAACGUUUGUGUGCAGAGUGGGUCCAGCUAAGACUAGAGAAACUGAACUGACAUUGCAGCCGCCACCCCACACCCAGGGCGGCAGUCUGCGGUCAGCCAGAUUAACCGUCUGCUUCGUAACAAAAGAAAAGAAAAAGAAAUGAGACAGCCUGCGAUGUGCUGAUAUGGAAGGAGGUCCAAAAUAUAUAGUUAAGUGAAAAGCACCGUAGAAACCAGCCUAUAAUAUCCUACCAAAUUAUACACGUAUAUAAAUUAUAUACACACGCACACAUCCGUGCAUACAUGCACACGUACCCGUACGUAUCUGGAACAUUUCUGAAGGACUAAAAGGAUUCACAAGAAAUUAGUGGUAGUGAAUGCCUUCCGGGAAGGGAAAAUGGAAGUGGGUGAUGAACCCGCAGAGGGAGAGCCACAUUUUUUUCUUUUUUUUAAAAUCAGAUUUGGUGGGGCUGGGAAUUUAGCUCAGCGGCAAACGCGCCUGCCUGGCAAGCGCAAGGUCGUGAGUUCGGUUCCCGGUACCGGAGAAAAAAAAAAAAAAAAAAAAAAAAAAGAAACAAAUAAAAUCAGAUUUGGAGAGGUGUGAUUUUCAAUCUCCCUUUUCAGUGUGUUUUCUGAGUUUUGGCAAACACACAAAAUCACGCAGUUAUCACCACAGUCAAGAUAUAUUUACUUCACUCUGUCCAAG
Molecule: long non-coding RNA, 2197 nt
Organism: Chinchilla lanigera (long-tailed chinchilla)
Lineage: Eukaryota; Metazoa; Chordata; Mammalia; Rodentia; Chinchillidae
Source: Ensembl